GACGAACGCUGGCGGCGUGCUUAACACAUGCAAGUCGAACGGAAAGGCCCUGCUUGCAGGGUACUCGAGUGGCGAACGGGUGAGUAACACGUGGGUGAUCUGCCCUGCACUUCGGGAUAAGCCUGGGAAACUGGGUCUAAUACCGGAUAGGAGCCAUUUUUAGUGUGAUGGUUGGAAAGUUUUUUCGGUGUAGGAUGAGCUUGCGGCCUAUCAGCUUGUUGGUGGGGUAAUGGCCUACCAAGGCGGCGACGGGUAGCCGGCCUGAGAGGGUGGACGGCCACAUUGGGACUGAGAUACGGCCCAGACUCCUACGGGAGGCAGCAGUGGGGAAUAUUGCACAAUGGGCGCAAGCCUGAUGCAGCGACGCCGCGUGGGGGAUGACGGCCUUCGGGUUGUAAACUCCUUUCGCUAGGGACGAAACUUUUUGUGACGGUACCUAGAUAAGAAGCACCGGCUAACUACGUG
This 465-nucleotide ribosomal RNA is filed under the name uncultured bacterium. Its description in RNAcentral is "partial 16S ribosomal RNA". It matches the Rfam family "Bacterial small subunit ribosomal RNA", at positions 28 to 507 of the family's 1533-position model. The record is from RNAcentral.